This 253-nucleotide ribosomal RNA is filed under the name uncultured bacterium. Its description in RNAcentral is "partial 16S ribosomal RNA". It matches the Rfam family "Bacterial small subunit ribosomal RNA", at positions 524 to 776 of the family's 1533-position model. The record is from RNAcentral.
UACGUAGGGUGCGAGCGUUACUCGGAAUUACUGGGCGUAAAGCGUGCGCAGGCGGUUUUGUAAGCCAGAUGUGAAAGCCCCGGGCUUAACCUGGGAAUGGCAUUUGGGACUGCAAGGCUUGAGUGCGGCAGAGGAGACUGGAAUUCCUGGUGUAGCAGUGAAAUGCGUAGAUAUCAGGAGGAAUACCGAUGGCGAAGGCAGGUCUCUGGGCUGACACUGACGCUCAUGCACGAAAGCGUGGGGAGCAAACAGG